Molecule: ribosomal RNA, 376 nt
Filed under: uncultured organism
Description: partial 16S ribosomal RNA
Rfam family: Bacterial small subunit ribosomal RNA
Source: RNAcentral
GAAGGUGGCAAGCGUUGUUCGGUAUUACUGGGCUUAAAGCGUGUGUAGGCGGAAAUGUAAGCGUUGUGUGAAAUCCCCCCGGCUUAACCGGGGAACUGCGCGACGAACUGCGUUUCUUGAGGCAAGUAGGGGUACAUGGAACUCUUGGUGGAGCGGUGGAAUGCGUAGAUAUCAAGAGGAACGCCAGUGGAGAAAUCGGUGUACUGGGCUUGUACUGACGCUGAGACACGAAAGCGUGGGGAGCGAACGGGAUUAGAUACCCCGGUAGUCCACGCCGUAAACGAUGCCUACUAGGUUGUGGUGGUUCUGACACCCAGCACAGCCCGAAGCAAAAGUGUUAAGUAGGCCGCCUGGGGGAGUACGGUCGCAAGGCUAA